CUUAUCCUUUCCAUGCAGGCUCGUUUGCUUCUUUCCAAUCCUUCAUUUUUAAUCAGAGGAGAGUGAGGCGAGCUGGCCGGGCUGCUCUUCGUCGGGGACGUUACCGUUUACUUGCCCGCGCCAACGGCCAGCUACUCGCCGGGAUUCGCCGGGGUCGCCGUCUUCUCCGUGCGCCACGCUGACAGGAAGCUGGUCGCCGAGUUCCCGGGGAUUCGCCGCGCACCCAGGUACUCCGCCGCCUCCCCAGUAGCUGUCCGAGCGGCGGACCGCGACGCGCACGCGAGUGUCCAAUGGCUCCGGUGGUCCGAUGAGCGUGGCUGCCGGCCAUGGCCGUGGUCGUGUGCCACUGCCUCUCCCGCUGGAAGCACGGAGGCUCGCGGCCAAGAUCCGGGGAGAAGGAGCUCCGUGACGGCGAGCUCCUCUAGGAGCAAGGCGACCACGUACUCCAAGAGCACGACGACGACAAGCUUUGAGGCUCCUUAUGGCAACCUUAACGAGGAGGAGGGUGGCAGCUGGAUGAGGAUUAAAAUCACGCUGGAGUCACCGUGCUGUCCUCUGACUACACAGCCGGCGCCCCAUGAUCUUCAGGACGGCGGCGGCGCGGCGGCUGGACCUCCCUACCAGCCUGCCCGGCCAAACUCCACAAGCUGCAGCUCACGGUCACGGAUCCAAUCCAGGAAACGUCCUGCCAGCUAGUGCCAUGGUUCCCCCACGGAAUGAGCAGGGAGUUCUAGCGACGCAUUAUACAAGGAGCUAUGGCAUGUUUGGGCUAGGCCGUUGAUCACAGUGCCUCGCCAAGGUGAAAGGAUUUACUACUUUCCGCAUGUUUAUAUUGGAACAGGUAUGUCUCACCGCAUUGGUGUUUGCUCUUCUUGAUGCCCUAUAACCAAUGAAUGAAUUUGCUACUCAACACAAACAGUAGCUAUUUGUGUUAUGGGACAUUGCUUUGUUCUUGUGUUAUAAAUGACAAUAUGACUUUGUUUAUGCGGAAUAAUCAUCCAGGUAUUUAAAGUUCAUCCACGUACAUAUUUAGAACCUGAUAUUCUCUAGUGUGGUCAUGUAUUAGUUGAAAAAUGAAUAUCCAUCAUAGGGUACCACCUUACAUACAGUGCUUCCAGCCUUACAGGCCUCACCAGAAGGCCCUUUGCCAAGCUUCACUGUGACGACUAACUUACUACUUGACAAACAUCUUUGCUAACUGAUAAAAGCAACAACAUAGGUAAAUAAACUCAUUUUCACAUGUUAUGACAAAAUGGUUUCUUCCAGCUCACAAAAAAACAAAGAAAACAUAGUACUAAUACAUAGAGAGACUGUAUAAUUGUUAAGGCUACUUUAGGAAUUAAUUUGGGAAUAGACUGAACAUAUCAGGAUAUACACGAGUUGACUGCAAAGAAAAGAAAUCAUCAUCUACUAAUACUGUACUAAAUGAACAUUAUCCAUUCACAUCUCCAGUAUUGUACUAUUAUACAUGACAGAGAAUGACUAACAUUACUCGUUCUUCUCUUAAAGCUGUCAAGAAAAUACAGUCAGUAGAAAAGUUAGAAGGAUAUUGAGCACUAAACUCCAGUUAUCAAUACACCGGACUGUCUACUGAUCUCCAACCGGUUAAUUUAAGAAUCAUCACAUUUACCAAUAAGGGGGCAAUUGUCUGUAAGAUGUGAUUUGCUUGCAUGCAUUUCAUAGAUAAAUAUGUGCAUAAAAGUUAGGACUUGCCUACAUACCUGGAUAUUUACAUUCACAUAGAGACAAUAUAUCUUCAAUUCACAUGUAGGACACAAGAAUGUAUAGUCACAAACUCACAAUUCCAUGGCAGCAAAAAUCUUCAAUAAUCUGUGAACUCCAUAAACAACGAUAUUAUAGAUCUCUUGUUUUGUUGAUAUAUUGACAUAUAGAAGAAGGAGAUGUAGUCUACAGGAGAGAAGCAACCAUCAAUGGUGUUAAUGUUACCUCUCCAUAGUACCAUCGGUCCAAAGGCACUCAAGUAAAAAUCAAAACACAAAAACGACAAAUGGCACUGGGAGUUUGGAGCCCGCCCAUCUGAUUUAGAUGAUCUGGGAAAGAGCAAUGAUUUUGCCCUCUUGUGGAUUUAAAAUACAAUUAGAAAAGUUCACUGAACUGAUGAAUGGGUGUUUUAAGCUCACCCAACUUCCUUAGUUUUGAAAAUGAACAAAUCCAUCUCAAAACAUGAUUUAAUACAUCAUAUUUAUGCAGGCAUUGCCAAUUCAAUUUUCUGGUACGCAUUUGUUUAAAAAUAGGAAUAUAUAUAUAUAGGAAAAUGGGUUAGUACUCUCAGGAGUAUGUACUCCCAUGCCACAUGUCGCUCAUUGCUUCAAUGCCUAUUUUUAAAUUGCUUUAUCAUUUAAUUAAAGAGAUAACAACCAGAUAAUAUCCACACACACGCACUGUUUUAAAAUUUGUUAGCCCGUCCAGGUUAAUAGGGACUCUGGUAGCUCACAGAUCGCGUGCAUAGUAGAUGCCCUCAACGACAACUCUGUUUGACAUCACAUCCUCGUGUAACAAACAAACGGAGACGGCACCGGCCAUGGCCAUGGCGACGGCGACGGGAACGGCGGCGAUCACGGUUGGGGAGAGCACCGGCGACGACGCAGCAACACAGCAAACGACGUCGGCGAAGCCACCGAUGCCGGAGACGGAGACGACACCGGUGAUGGAAGCAGCCACGGCAAGGGCAACCGCGACGAGAUGCGGCUAUGUAACGUCCCUUGGCCUGACCAGCGACGGCGACGGCAGCGACAUCGUCGACGAGGACAUCACCAACAACGACAAACAUAUGCAGCUAUCUUCCCUUGGCCUGGCCAGCUACUGCGACGGGGAUCGUGACGGCAUCGCCGAUGGGCGACAUCACCGGCGAUGACAACAGAUGCGGCUUCUUCAUCUCAUCAUCGACGCAUGGAUAUUCUUGUAUUGAUUUCCAUGCAUUCAUUGUAAUUGAUAUCUCACGAGCUAGUUCAAUGAAACAGUAUAAUCCAUCCAUGCAUGCCAUGGCGACCAAGAUGGAGGCAUGCGCAUUGCUAGCGUUUCCAUCAUCAACACACAUCGGCGGUCACACGAGUGGCAAUACACAGCCGCGGUUCUUGCUGAUGUCCAGAAUACACAUGCAUGCGUGCAUACCUGACAUGCAUGCCUAACAUAUUGUUUU
Long non-coding RNA from Triticum aestivum (bread wheat), 3160 nucleotides. RefSeq lists it as uncharacterized. The transcript is spliced from 2 exons. The record is from RefSeq and is a predicted model, not a curated record. NCBI's taxonomy places the organism in Eukaryota, Viridiplantae, Streptophyta, Magnoliopsida, Poales, Poaceae.